This 73-nucleotide transfer RNA is filed under the name Microbacterium phage PauloDiaboli. Its description in RNAcentral is "tRNA-Ile". It matches the Rfam family "tRNA". Rfam says of the family: Transfer RNA (tRNA) molecules are approximately 80 nucleotides in length. Their secondary structure includes four short double-helical elements and three loops (D, anti-codon, and T loops). Further hydrogen bonds mediate the characteristic L-shaped molecular structure. tRNAs have two regions of fundamental functional importance: the anti-codon, which is responsible for specific mRNA codon recognition, and the 3' end, to which the tRNAs corresponding amino acid is attached (by aminoacyl-tRNA synthetases). tRNAs cope with the degeneracy of the genetic code in two manners: having more than one tRNA (with a specific anti-codon) for a particular amino acid; and 'wobble' base-pairing, i.e. permitting non-standard base-pairing at the 3rd anti-codon position. The record is from RNAcentral. RNAcentral also lists the same sequence under 2 other names. Lineage: Duplodnaviria; Heunggongvirae; Uroviricota; Caudoviricetes.
GCCCGCAUAGUGUAGUGGUCUGCACGUCAAUCUGAUACGUUGAAGGUCCUAGUUCAAUUCUAGGUGUGGGUAC